This 471-nucleotide ribosomal RNA is filed under the name uncultured bacterium. Its description in RNAcentral is "bacterial SSU rRNA". It matches the Rfam family "Bacterial small subunit ribosomal RNA", at positions 8 to 526 of the family's 1533-position model. The record is from RNAcentral.
AGAGUUUGAUCCUGGCUCAGAACGAACGCUGGCGGCAGGCUUAACACAUGCAAGUCGAGCGCCCCGCAAGGGGAGCAGGCAGACGGGUGAGUAACGCGUGGGAACGUACCUUUUGCUACGGAAUAACUCAGGGAAACUUGUGCUAAUACCGUAUGUGCCCGAAAGGGGAAAGAUUUAUCGGCAAAGGAUCGGCCCGCGUUGGAUUAGCUAGUUGGUGGAGUAAAGGCUCACCAAGGCGACGAUCCAUAGCUGGUCUGAGAGGAUGAUCAGCCACACUGGGACUGAGACACGGCCCAGACUCCUACGGGAGGCAGCAGUGGGGAAUAUUGGACAAUGGGCGCAAGCCUGAUCCAGCCAUGCCGCGUGAGUGAUGAAGGCCCUAGGGUUGUAAAGCUCUUUCACCGGUGAAGAUAAUGACGGUAACCGGAGAAGAAGCCCCGGCUAACUUCGUGCCAGCAGCCGCGGUAAUAC